AUUUGCAUCACUAAGUACUCUCUUAACUGUCAAAUCAACUCUACACCAAUGGCACCCAUAAAAAAGAAAUUCUUCAAACACAAACAGAACUGCCAUGCAGUGCAGUUCUUUGAGACCUAUAAUUGUAACCUCCUGUUACAAUGCUAUAAACUUGGAAAUUGGAAAAUGAAGAUAUAAACCACAGAUUAUCGAACAAUCAGAAGAAGAUAUGGA
Molecule: long non-coding RNA, 213 nt
Filed under: Fukomys damarensis (Damara mole-rat)
Lineage: Eukaryota; Metazoa; Chordata; Mammalia; Rodentia; Bathyergidae
Description: lncRNA (ENSFDAG00000025591.1)
Source: RNAcentral